Long non-coding RNA from Salvelinus fontinalis (brook trout), 7468 nucleotides. RefSeq lists it as uncharacterized. The record is from RefSeq and is a predicted model, not a curated record. The transcript has 2 exons. Lineage: Eukaryota; Metazoa; Chordata; Actinopteri; Salmoniformes; Salmonidae.
CUGGGGAAGGGGCGGAGGUGGCUUUCACACCUAGUUUGUUAGGAUUUUUGUUUUGUUUUUUACUCUGGUGCGUUUACCCCCUAUGUUUGGUUCGUUUGAACAAGUGUGAACACCAUCUGCACUCUGAUGUGCACUACACAAGCGCACAGUUAGUUGAGGUGGUAUGUACAUGUAGGUAGAGUUAUUAAAGUGACUAUACAUAGAUGACAAAAGAGACCAGCGGUGGUGUAAAGAGGGGGGGAGGGGGCAUUGCAAAUAGUUUGGGUAGCCAUUUGACUAGAUGUUCAGGAGUCUUAUGGCUUAGGGGUAGAAGCAGUUUAGAAGCCUCUUGGACCUAGACUUGGAGCUUUGGUACAACUUGCCUUGCGGUAGCAGAGAUAACAGUCUAUUACUAGGGUGGCUGGAGUCUUUGACCAUUUUUAGGGCCUUCCUCUGACACCGCGUGGUAUAGAGGUCCUGGAUGGCAGGAAGCUUGGCCCCAGUGAUAUACUGGGUCGUUCGCACUACCCUCUGUAAUGCCUUGUGGUCGGAGGCCGAGCAGUUGCCGUACCAGGCAGUGAUGCAACCAGUCAGAAUGCUCUCGAUGGUGCAGCUGUAGAACCUUUUGAGGAUCUGAGGACCAUGCCAAAUCUUCUCAGUCUCCUGAGGGGGAAUAGGUUUUGUCGUGCCCUCUUCACGACUGUCUUGGUGUGCUUGGACCAUGUUAGUUUGUUGGUGAUGUGGACACCAAGGAACUUAAAGCUCUCAACCUGCUCCACUGCAGCCCCGUCAAUGCUCGGCCCUCUUUUUCCUGUAGUCCACAAUCAUCUCCUUUUUCUUGAUCACGUUGAGGGAGAGGUUGUUGUCCGGGCACCACACGGCCAGGUCUCUGACCUCCUCCCUAUAGGCUGUCUCGUCGGUGAUCAGGCCUAUCACUGUUGUGUCAUCUGCAAACUUAAUGAUGGUGUUGGAGUCGUGCCUGGCCAUGCAGGUGAGCAGGGAGUACAGGAAGGGACUGAGCAUGCACCCCUGAUGGGCCCCUGUGUUGAGGAUCAGUGUGGCGGAUGUGUUCUUACCUACCCUUACCACCUGUGGGCGGCCCGUCAGGAAAUCCAGGAUCCAGUUGCAGAGGGAGGUGUUUAGUCCCAGGGUCCUUAGCUUAUUGAUGAGCUUUGAGGGCACUAUGGUGUUGAACGCUGAGCUUGGUUGAAAUUGGUUGUUGAUCAUUGUUAGAGAACUGUUUUCAAGUCUUUCCAAAGAUUUUCAAGCAGACUUAAGUUAAAGCUCCCGAGUGGCGCAGAGGUCUAAGGCACUCUCAGUGCGUCACUUCAGUCCCUGGUUCGAAUCCAGUCUGUAUCACAUCCGGCUGUGAUUGGGAGUUCCAUAGGGCGGUGCACAAUUGCCCCAGCGUCGUCCAGGUGUGGCCGGGGUUGGCCAUCAUUGUAAAUAAAAAAAUUGUUCUUAACUGACUAGUUAAAUAAAAUAAAAAUACAAUUUAAAAAAAUAACUCAGCCACUCGGGAACAUUCACUGUCUUUUUGGUAAGCAACUCCAAUGUAGAUUUGGUCUUGUAUUUUAGGUUAUUGUCCUGCUGAAUGGUGAAUUCAUCUCCCAGUGUCUGGUAGAAAGCAAACUGAACCAGGUUUUCCUCUAGGAUCUUUCCAGUGCUUAGCUCCAUUCCGUUUAUUUUUUAUUCUACAAAAAAUCACCAGCCCUUAACGAUUACAAGCAUACCUAUAACAUGAUGCAGCCACCACUAUCUUUGAAAAUACGGAGAGUGGUACUCGGUAAUGUGUUUGGGCCAAAUGUAAUACAACUCCUUGUCUAUAGGACAAAAAGUGGGGGGAAAAGCCACAUUUUGUGCAGUAUUACUUUGUUGACUUUUUGUACCAGGAUGCAUGUUUUGUAGUAUUUUUAUUCUGUGCAGGCUUCCUUCUUUUCACCCUGUCAAUUAGGUUAUUAUUGUGGAGUAACUACAAUGUUGUUGAUCCAUCCUCAGUGUUCUAUCACAGCCAUUAAACUCUGUAACUGUUUUAAAGUCACCAUUGGCCUCAUGGUGAAAUCCCUGAGCAGUUUCCUUCCUCUCUGGCAACUGAGUUAGGAAGGACACCUGUAUCUUUGUAGUGACUGGGUGUAUUGAUACACCAUCCAAGUGUAAUUAAUAACUUCACCAUGCUCAAAGGGAUAUUCAAUGUCUGCUUUUUCUAUAUUUACCAUCUACCAAUAGGUUUCCUUAUUUGCGAGGAAUUGGAAAACCUCCCUGUUCUUUGUGGUUGAAUCUGUGUUUGAAAUUCACUGCUCAACUGAAGGACCUUAAAAUGAUCUGUGUGUGUGGGUUACAGUGAUGAGGUAGUCAUUAAAAAAAUAAUGUUAAACACUUAUUGCACACAGUGUGAGUCCAUGCAACUUAUGUGCCUCCUGAACGUAUUUAGGCUUGCAUAACAAAGGGGUUGAAUACUUAUUGACUCAAGACAUUUCAGCUUUUCAUUUUUUUCAUUUUUUAUUAAGUUGUAAAAAUGUAGAGAAACAUCAUUCUACUUCCAGUGACAAAACAUUUUAUUUAAUCAAUUUUAAAUUCAGGUUGUAACACAACAGAAUGUGGAAAAGGUCCAGGGGUGUGAGUACUUUCUCGAAAGCACUGUAUAACACACUUUUCAAUGUAAAUUUGGUUGUGUCAACCAAAAAGUUGUUUAUUGCAGCUUUUAACCAAUGUAUGUCAAAAUAAAUCAUUUAGAUCCAAUAAUAAAAACAAAUAAACAGUUCUACGACUGAACAUCAAUAAUCAAGAAAGUGCCUGCCCUGCAACAAAAUGCUGAGUGAUACAGCUUAUUUAAGCAAUAAGGCCCAAGGGGGUGCGGUAUAUGGUCAAUAUACCAGGGCUAAAGGCUGUUCUUAUCCACGACGCAACGCAGAGUGCCUGGAUACAACACUUAGCCGUGGUAAGCUGUUUAGCUGUUCACGAAUAAAAGUUUUUGGAAGUGAUCCAUGCUAAAGGUGCUCCUUAAACCUGACUUAGACCUCAGAUGGAUAAGACCCUUUCUUCUGUAAGGUUGCUGCCCCUAUCAUCGCAAAGCCUAUUUUCAACCUUUCUCUCCUUUGGGGAGGUUCCCAUUGCUUGGAAGGCAGCCACAGUUUGUCCUUUAUUUAAAGGGGGAGAUCAAGCUGAUCCUAACUGUUAUAGGCCUAUUUCUAUGUUGCCCUGUUUAUCAAAAGUGUUGGGAAAACUUGUCAAUAAUCGACUGACUUUCUUGAUGUCUAUAGUAUUCUCUUGGGUAUGCAAUCUGGUUUCCGCUCAGGUUGUGGAUGUGUCACUGCAACCUUAAAGGUCCUCAAUGAUGUCACCAUUGCCCUCGAUUCUAAACAAUAUUGUGCUGCUAUUUUUAUUGACUUGGCCAGCGCUUUUGAUACGGUAGACCAUUCCAUUCUUUUGGGCCGGCUAAGGAGUAUUGAUGUCUCUGAGGGGUCUUUGGCCUGGUUUGUUAACUACCUCUCUCAAAGAGUGCAGUAUAUCAAGUCAGAAAAUCUGCUGUCUCAGCCACUACCUGUCACCGAGGGAGUACCCCAAGGCUCGAUCCUAGGCCCCAGGCUCUUCUCAAUUUACAUCAACAACAUAGCUCAGGCGGUAGGAAUCUCUCGUCCAUUUAUAUGCAGAUGAUACAGUCUUAUACUCGGCUGGACCCUCCCCGGAUUUUGUGUUAAAUGCUCUACAACAAAGCCAACAUGCUUUCUCUGGUAGUCACCUCAUACAAGUACUUGGGAGUAAUGCUGGAUGGUGCACUGUCCUUCUUUCAGCACAUCUCAAAGCUGCAGGCUAAAGUUAAAUCUAGACUUGGUUUCCUCUAUCGUAAUCGCUCCUCUUUCAUCCCAGCUGCCAAACUAACCCUGAUUCAGAUGACCAUCCUACCAAUGCUCGAUUACAGAGACAUAAUUUGUAGAUCGGCAGGUAAGGGUGAUCUCGAGCGGCUAGAUGUUCUUUAACAUUCGGCCAUCAGAUUUAUCACCAAUGCUCCUUAUAGGACACAUCACUGCACUCUAUACUCUUCUGUAAACUGGUCAUCUCUGUAUACCCGUCACAAGACCCACUGGUUGAUGUGUAUUUAUAAAACCAUCUUAGGCCUCACUCCCCCCUAUCUGAGAUAUCUACUGCAGCCCUCAUCCUCCACAUACAACACCCAUUCUGCCAGUCGCAUUCUGUUAAAGGUCCCCAAAGCACACAUAUCCCUGGGUCUCUUCUCUUUUCAGUUCGCUGCAGCUAGCAACUGGAACGAGCUGCAACAAACACUCAAACUGGACAGUUAUCUCCAUCGCUUCAUUCAAAGACUCAAUCAUGGACACUCUUACUGACAGUUGUGGCUGCUUUGUAUGAUGUAUUGUUGUCUCUACCUUCUUGACCUCUGUGCUGUUGACUUUGCCCAAUGUUUGUACCAUGUUUUUGUGCUGUUGUGUUGCUACCAUGCUGUGUUAUGUUUUGCUGUUAUGCUGUUGCCUUAGGUCUCUUUUUAUAUAGUGAUGUGUGUUUUGUCCUAUAUAUUUAAUUUUUCUAAUUCCAGGCCCCCGUCCCCGCAGGAGGCCUUUUGCCUUUUGGUAGGCCGUCAUUGUAAAUUAGAAUUUGUUCUUAACUGACUUGCCUAGUUAAAUAUAGGUUAUAAAAAAAGCUCAGUCAAGCACAAUCAUACGGCCUCCCGAGUGGCGCAGUGGUCUAAGGCACUGUAUCGCAGUGCUAGUUGUGCCACUAGAGAUUCUGGGUUCGAGUCCAGGCUCUGUCGCAGUCGGCCGCGAUCGGGAGACCAAUGGGGUGGCGCAGAAUUGCCCCAGCGUCAUCCGGGUUAGGGGAGGGUUUGGCCGGCAGGGAUGUCCUUGUUCCAUCGUGCACUUGCCACUCCUGUGGUGGGCCGAGCGCAGUGCACGCUGACACGGUCGCCAGGUGUACGGCGUUUCCUCCGACACAUUGGUGCGGCUGGCUUCCGGGUUAAGUGGGCAUUGUGUCAAGAAGCAGUGCGGCUUUGUUGGGUUGUGUUUCGGAGGACGCACUGCUCUCGACCUUUGCCUCUCCCGAGUCCGUACGGGAGUUGCAGCGAUGAGACAGGACUGUAACUACCAAUUGGAUAACUGGGAUAAAUUGGGGAGGAAAAGGGGUAAAAAUUAUAAAAUUAUAAUAAUCAUUAGGUGAGACACAAAAUUUCAGCUGGCCUUUUAAGGGAAGGGCUGUUAACAUGGUAACUUGGGCACUCCCUGGUCUGUGAUUUAAAAUAGAAUCUCAGACUGCAAUGUCUUCCUAGCAGCAGACAGUUGCAACAAACUCAAACUAACAUCGAAAAAGUAUGUGAACAAACUGAUUUAACUGGCCAAGAAACACGAGAACAAAGUCACACUUUAGUAGCCUUUCUUGUCAUUUCGACCUGCUUCUUUCCUAAACGUGGGCUUUGGAUUUUUUUUUAAUUUUUAUUCCCAAAUGCUCUGUGUGACCACCUGCCAACGUGGCUGGUGGAAUAUUACAUUCAUACAAAAUCUACCCUCAUUUGGCUGGUGUUAAUUUCCGACCCUGGUGACAAUAUUAUCAAAUUGAGAAUGAAGAGACUGAUGACAAUGCAUUGACUAAGAAGGGAACGGAGCUUACCAAAUAGCACUUCUUUCAUAUCCUCCUACAGAAGUCGAUGCAGGACAGACGUUUUGAUUGCUAUACCCCAUCGGAAAGAGAAGAUUCCAAGGUUUCUAAUGAACCUAUUUUUGCCAAACAACUCUACAAAUUGUGCUGAUGGUCUCUCUGUUUCAUAACUCUUUCUAGAAUAACCAUGGCUCCAUGCCCAUGUGAGUACCGGUUACAAUCAGCAACAGCUAUUUGGGAUUUUAUUUUUCUGUUCUAUUCCAUUAUAUGUGUACUGUAAAAUAUGUGUUGACUGUGGUAGGGCAUGGCACAGCCAUAGAUUUGCAUGGCACAGCCAUGCACAGAUAAAUACAAUUAUGUAAUCACUAAUUGUGAAUGAAGAACAGGGUGGGCCAUUCUAUUAUAUUAGUAUUUUCUAAUUAUACUCUCAAAACAGUUGACCCUUUACCAGUCCACCAAAUCCAAGCAGUCUUAUUAGUUUGCUCUAUGCCUACUUGGAGUACACAGUGAAAGUGUGUGUCAUUUACAACGAGAAGACCAAGACGAAUGGGUGGACAUGCUACAAGAUUUGAAUGAAAACGACUUGGAUGGCGGGGAAGAAAUGGAUCGUGACCAUCUGUGAUUAUCCUUCUGAUUUGUGCUGAACGGCUUUCCAUAUCUGGGAAAAUAUCCAUAUCGGGCAGCAGGUGGGCGAGUGUUGGGUAAUGUGAUGAUGCUUGUGGGAUCUUACAUUGGCAAGGGGCGAAAUGUCACCAUGGACAAUUUCUUCAUUGACGAACAAGUUGCUUGCAAGAAAACAAGCCCGGUUGGCACCAUGAACAAAGGAGAUGGGAGCUCCCUCCCUUAGUGCAAAAUAAGGCAACUGCACAGUAACAGUUCCCCACAACCUAGUUAAAUAAAGGUUAAAUAAAGAAAUAUUCAAACAGUGCUUCAGAAUGGCAAGCCAACACUCACACAUUACCAAGGCAAGAAAUAACAUUUGAGUCUUGAGCACCAUGCAUCCGACAGACGACAGUUGCCAUUGAUCGGGACACAACGAGAAAACCGGAGACUAUUACACACGACAACGAACAAAGGUCGGUGUGGAUGUUUUGGAUCAGAUGGCACGUCUGUACUCGGUGAAAGGUGGAACUCGCCGCUGGCUUGCUGCUGUGUUCUACAACCUGCUUGACUUGGCUGCUGUCAACGCACACGUGGUGUUCAAGCAGUAAUUGAACAAAACCAUGAGCAGGAGAGACUUUAUCUGGCACACGGGCUACGUGAGAGACAUAUGAGGGCCAAGGCAGCAGCAAAGAUUCCACGAGAGCCAUUGCGCAAGCAAAAUUGCAUACAGCUCCCGGGGGAAGAGAAACUGCCAGGUGGGCAGAUGCACUCGGAACAGAACCCGCGACACCCGUUUCAGCUGAAAGUGACUUGUUUGUGGGAAGUGUUGCAAGUGAAAGUGACAACGAUUUGUGUCGACUGUUAGGACAAGGGAUUGUUAUCUCAUUUAGGACAAGGGAUUGUUAUCCCUAAAUGAGAUCCAACUGUUGCGUGAAGACGCACACCAUACUGUAAGCACGAGCGAAGCAAAAAAUAAUGUGUCCAAUAACUAUUAUAUAACUAAUAUACUAUUUUGACCGCUGUCAUAUGGACACUUAAAUUCAUUAUAAUUCCAUUAUAACUUUUGUGCUGAUUUUCACUAUUCACACCCACACUUGGCACUUAUACUGAUGUUUAGGCUACUGAUAUUUUCUUCAUUGACUGCGCAUCUUGCUGACCGUGCGUCUUGGUUUGGGUAUUUUUAUUUGUUUUGUCAUUUGUUAAAAUGAGCUUUUACUGUGUUCCAACGUAUAAUAUUUUUGAUUCAUAGUUGUAACAAAUAAAAUGUAUUUGACACUUUAAA